GGUAAACGCUGGCGGCGUGCCUAAAACAUGCAAGUCGAACGGAUUGUCGCAAGACAGUCAGUGGCAGACGGCUGAGUAACGCGUGGGUGACGUACCUAUUGGUGGGGAAUAACUGCCCGA
This 120-nucleotide ribosomal RNA is filed under the name uncultured bacterium. Its description in RNAcentral is "partial 16S ribosomal RNA". It matches the Rfam family "Bacterial small subunit ribosomal RNA", at positions 28 to 154 of the family's 1533-position model. The record is from RNAcentral.